This 306-nucleotide ribosomal RNA is filed under the name uncultured bacterium. RNAcentral describes it as "partial 16S ribosomal RNA". It matches the Rfam family "Archaeal small subunit ribosomal RNA", at positions 454 to 760 of the family's 1478-position model. The record is from RNAcentral.
GACAGCAGCAGCCGCGGGAACACCAGCACCUCGAGUGGUCAGGAGGUUUAAUGGGCCUAAAGCAUCCGUAGCCGGUUGCAUAAGUUUUCGGUUAAAUCUAUGCGCUUAACGUAUAGGCCGCCGAAAAUACUGUGCAGCUAGGGAGUGGGAGAGGUACACGGUACUCGAUAGGAAGGGGUAAAAUCCUUUGAUCUAUUGAUGACCACCUGUGGCGAAGGCGGUGUACCAGAACACGUUCGACGGUGAGGGAUGAAAGCUGGGGGAGCAAACCGGAUUAGAUACCCGUGUAGUCCCUGUCUCUUAUAC